GUAGGGAAUAUUGGGCAAUGGUCGGAAGACUGACCCAGCCAUGCCGCGUACAGGAAGACGGCCCUCUGGGUUGUAAACUGCUUUUAUCUGGGAAGAAAAAGGCCAUGCGUGGCAAAUUGCCGGUACCAGAUGAAUAAGCACCGGCUAACUCCGUGCCAGCAGCCGCGGUAAUACGGAGGGUGCGAGCGUUGUCCGGAUUUAUUGGGUUUAAAGGGUGCGUAGGCGGCUGAUUAAGUCAGCGGUGAAAGACUUCGGCUUAACCGGAGCAGUGCCGUUGAUACUGGUUGGCUUGAGUGUCGGAGGGGUACAUGGAAUUGAUGGUGUAGCGGUGAAAUGCAUAGAUACCAUCAGGAACACCGAUAGCGAAGGCAUUGUACUGGCCGACAACUGACGCUAAUGCACGAAAGUGUGGGGAUCGAACAGGAUUAGAAACCCGUGUAGUCC
This 444-nucleotide ribosomal RNA is filed under the name uncultured bacterium. Its description in RNAcentral is "partial 16S ribosomal RNA". It matches the Rfam family "Bacterial small subunit ribosomal RNA", at positions 354 to 796 of the family's 1533-position model. The record is from RNAcentral.